RNAcentral lists this ribosomal RNA (638 nucleotides) under Microbacterium foliorum. Its description in RNAcentral is "bacterial SSU rRNA". It matches the Rfam family "Bacterial small subunit ribosomal RNA", at positions 68 to 716 of the family's 1533-position model. The record is from RNAcentral. Lineage: Bacteria; Bacillati; Actinomycetota; Actinomycetes; Micrococcales; Microbacteriaceae.
GUGAACACGGAGCUUGCUCCUGUGGGAUCAGUGGCGAACGGGUGAGUAACACGUGAGCAACCUGCCCCUGACUCUGGGAUAAGCGCUGGAAACGGCGUCUAAUACUGGAUACGAGUAGCGGCCGCAUGGUCAGUUACUGGAAAGAUUUAUUGGUUGGGGAUGGGCUCGCGGCCUAUCAGCUUGUUGGUGAGGUAAUGGCUCACCAAGGCGUCGACGGGUAGCCGGCCUGAGAGGGUGACCGGCCACACUGGGACUGAGACACGGCCCAGACUCCUACGGGAGGCAGCAGUGGGGAAUAUUGCACAAUGGGCGCAAGCCUGAUGCAGCAACGCCGCGUGAGGGAUGACGGCCUUCGGGUUGUAAACCUCUUUUAGCAGGGAAGAAGCGAAAGUGACGGUACCUGCAGAAAAAGCGCCGGCUAACUACGUGCCAGCAGCCGCGGUAAUACGUAGGGCGCAAGCGUUAUCCGGAAUUAUUGGGCGUAAAGAGCUCGUAGGCGGUUUGUCGCGUCUGCUGUGAAAUCCGGAGGCUCAACCUCCGGCCUGCAGUGGGUACGGGCAGACUAGAGUGCGGUAGGGGAGAUUGGAAUUCCUGGUGUAGCGGUGGAAUGCGCAGAUAUCAGGAGGAACACCGAUGGC